RNAcentral lists this long non-coding RNA (390 nucleotides) under Mus spretus (western wild mouse). Its description in RNAcentral is "lncRNA (ENSMSPG00010011463.1)". Lineage: Eukaryota; Metazoa; Chordata; Mammalia; Rodentia; Muridae. The record is from RNAcentral.
GCAGGCGUGAUCUGCUCCCUACAGGUUUUCAAACGCCAGUCUGUUCCCGCCAGUUUUUUUCUUCUUGUAUUUUGGGUAGGGUUGGGUUGGUUUCGCUAGAAACUGCGGGAUGUUUCAGAUCCUGUGGCUUAGAAGCAGCAACAGACAGAAUGGAAGCUGGUAUGAUUGACAGCUACUUGCAGCUGACUUUGGAUCAGCAGAGGACCAGCAGAGGGAGCACUUCUCUCCAGCGAUGUUCUGAGUCUAGGCCAGGCGGUAGGAAAAUUCGCUUGGACUGAGGAAUAGUAGUCUUCAAAUGAAUGGGCUUUCUGAUCACAAAAUAUCAAACGACAAACUUAUCUAAUGUGUAAAGAAAUGAGUAAGAAAAUUAAAAACCAACACAAACCUAAC